UACGUAGGGGGCUAGCGUUGUCCGGACUUAUUGGGCGUAAAGAGCGUGUAGGCGGCCAGGUAGGUCCGUUGUGAAAACUCGAGGCUCAACCUCGAGACGUCGGCGGAAACCCUCUGGCUAGAGUCCGGAAGAGGAGAGUGGAAUUCCUGGUGUAGCGGUGAAAUGCGCAGAUAUCAGGAAGAACACCCGUGGCGAAGGCGGCUCUCUGGGACGGUACUGACGCUGAGACGCGAAAGCGUGGGGAGCAAACAGG
This 253-nucleotide ribosomal RNA is filed under the name uncultured bacterium. RNAcentral describes it as "partial 16S ribosomal RNA". It matches the Rfam family "Bacterial small subunit ribosomal RNA", at positions 524 to 776 of the family's 1533-position model. The record is from RNAcentral.